CAAUAGCGUAUAUUAACGUUGUUGCAGUUAAAAAGCUCGUAGUUGGAUUUCCGACAGGAGUGACCGGUCCGAGUCGCAAGACUCGUGUACUUUUGUGUCUUACUCUAGUCAUCCUUAUGGAGAUUGUGUUUCGGCAUUGAGUUGUCGGGCAUAGGACCCAUAUCGUUUACUGUGAAAAAAUUAGAGUGUUUAAAGCAGGCAAUUGCUGUGAAUACAUUAGCAUGGAAUAAUAAGAUAGGACUUUGGUGCUAUUUUGUUGGUUUGCCACCAAGGUAAUGAUUAAGAGGGACAGUUGGGGGUAUUCGUAUUUAAUUGUCAGAGGUGAAAUUCUUGGAUUUAUGAAAGACGAACUACUGCGAAAGCAUUUACCAAGGAUGUUUUCAUUAA
Molecule: ribosomal RNA, 387 nt
Filed under: uncultured eukaryote
Lineage: Eukaryota
Description: partial 18S ribosomal RNA
Rfam family: Eukaryotic small subunit ribosomal RNA
Source: RNAcentral